UCAUGCAAUCAUCGCCUUACCAUGUAAGUUUUUAAUCCCCCCUUUUAUAACUUUUGUUGCGAUUCCUUUUGCUUUUGAAGCACUGAACUUUGGAAGAGUGAAACAAUAAGUUGUGCUGGAUUUAGUUGGAUGGAUCAUUGAGUUUCUCUUCCAUUCUAUUGCUGCUGUGAUGAUUGGCUAUUGUCAAUUCAAAGGUUAAAGGAGGCGAAAGCUAUUUAUAUGCCCUACUUCUAUUGUUUGCUGAAGAUUUAUACAUAUGUACACACUUAGAAUCUAGAGAAGUUGAUCAUCUAAGGUUUUUCUGACAAGGAAUAGACUAAUAUAAUUAGUAGCCUAAUUCAUGAAAUUGAUUCUUUGUGUUGAUUAGUACUUUUGCGAAUCAACAUACUAAGUUUUCAUGAAUCAAGAUUCUGGAACUUGCAAAAUGGAAUAGAGAUUUGUUGGCAGAAAUUUGAAACCUAGUUGUC
Molecule: unclassified non-coding RNA, 467 nt
Filed under: Hevea brasiliensis (rubber tree)
Lineage: Eukaryota; Viridiplantae; Streptophyta; Magnoliopsida; Malpighiales; Euphorbiaceae
Source: RNAcentral